CUAUCAACUUAAACCUGAUAGUGGCACCUAAAAUAAGCAUUCCUGCUUUCUUCUUUUUAGGGUUACUGAAUGAGUGAAUAGUCACCAGUCUUGAAAAGAGCAGAUGGAGACACUGACUCGACGUGGAAAUCCAAACACCUCUCUGUGAAGUGUUUUCAGAGUUCAUCCCCUGCUGAAAGUCUCCUCAAGGCAAUAAUCAGAAUCCAGAGGAAAAGGUUGCAAUCUACAGGAAGCUGGUAGGUCAAAUUUUAAAAUUAUAUAAAUGCCAGUACAAUUAGAGAGAAAAAAUGUAAGCAG
This 297-nucleotide long non-coding RNA is filed under the name Zonotrichia albicollis (white-throated sparrow). Its description in RNAcentral is "lncRNA (ENSZALG00000009467.1)". The record is from RNAcentral. Lineage: Eukaryota; Metazoa; Chordata; Aves; Passeriformes; Passerellidae.